UUCUCGUACGCCCCUGUCUCUGUGUAAUCGGCUCCCUAUAAUCGAACUUUUAAAAAUCACAAACUCCUUCUGAAAAUUACUAUGUUGGGCUCUGGCCCCUGAUAAAUUUAAACAGAAAUGUUUUGUAUUUGUUUUCUUUAAAUAGAAAUUUCCGACAACCAAAAAUCUUCCAAAUUUUUUUGAGAAAAUCUUCAAUAAUUUAUUACGCUUGAUUUUAUACUGUUGUUUGUAUGGAUCCAAGAGUUGAAAAUGAACCAGACUCUUCCUUUUCUGAUGUUCAGAAGUCAUGUUUGGAGUUCUGGGUGACAGGAAAUAAGAAAACUAUCAAAAUAUUUUCAACCAGUCUCCUGAUUCUGAUUGGAUUAACGAUGGUUUGCUGUAUAUCGAUAUUGAAUUUACCGCAGACCUAUCUAGAGAUCUAACGAGAAUAUUCUGUUCUGCAAGAUCUGUGUUAGUACAGAUAUUAAUGAUAUUCUCUCUAUAUAUAGACCUAUCUAGAGAUCUAACGAGAAUAUUCUGUUCUGCAAGAUCUGUGUUAGUACAGAUAUUAAUGAUCUUCUCUUCAGUUGUUUCACAGCUUACAUCUUCUCUAAAAAGAAAGAUUCAAUUGACAGAGAUAUUGUUUUAAUUAGCUGUGUUCUCAUCGUGUUUCUGCUGGGUAUAAACUUAUGCAAACUAUUCAGUGCUAUUGUUCUGGUUACAUACCUGCGCCUUGAAACUCAUUAUUUUCAAGCUGAAAACAGAAACAGGAAUUUAUUUAUUUUCAUUUUAUUUUUUACUGUCGACGUUAUUUCAAGUGAACUUCCAUUAAAAGGGUUACAU
Long non-coding RNA from Eurytemora carolleeae, 822 nucleotides. RefSeq lists it as uncharacterized. NCBI's taxonomy places the organism in Eukaryota, Metazoa, Arthropoda, Copepoda, Calanoida, Temoridae. The record is from RefSeq and is a predicted model, not a curated record. The transcript is spliced from 6 exons.